RNAcentral lists this ribosomal RNA (253 nucleotides) under uncultured bacterium. RNAcentral's name for it is "partial 16S ribosomal RNA". It matches the Rfam family "Bacterial small subunit ribosomal RNA", at positions 524 to 776 of the family's 1533-position model. The record is from RNAcentral.
UACGCAGGGGGCUAGCGUUUUCCGGAAUCGUUGGGCGUAAAGAGCGUGUAGGCGUUCUGGUAAGUCCGUUGUGAAAGUCCAGGGCUCAACCCUGGAAUGCCGAUGGAUACUGUCAGGCUCGAGUCCGGAAGAGGCGAGUGGAAUUCCUGGUGUAGCGGUGAAAUGCGCAGAUAUCAGGAGGAACACCAAUGGCGAAGGCAGCUCGCUGGGACGGUACUGACGCUGAGACGCGAAAGCGUGGGGAGCAAACAGG